Molecule: ribosomal RNA, 468 nt
Filed under: uncultured bacterium
Lineage: Bacteria
Description: partial 16S ribosomal RNA
Rfam family: Bacterial small subunit ribosomal RNA
Source: RNAcentral
GACGAACGCUGGCGGCGUGCUUAACACAUGCAAGUCGAACGGAAAGGCCCUGCUUUUGUGGGGUGCUCGAGUGGCGAACGCGUGAGUAACACGUGUGUAACCUGCCCUUGACUUUGGGAUAACUUCAGGAAACUGGGGCUAAUACCGGAUAGGAUCUCCUGCUGCACGGUGGGGGUUAGAAAGAUUCGGCGGUUGGGGAUGGACUCGCGGCUUAUCGGCUGGUUGGUGAGGUAGUGGCUGUCCAAGGCUUUGACGGGUAGCCGGCCUGAGAGGGUGGCCGGCCACAUUGGGCCUGCGAGACGGCCCAGUCUCCUACGUGAGGCAGCAGUGGGGAAUAUUGCACAAUGGGCGGAAGCCUGAUGCAGAAACGCCGCGUGCGUGAUGCCGGCCUUCGAGUUGUAAACCGCUUUCGCAUGUGCCGAAGCGUGAGUGACGGUAAUGGGUAAAGAAGCACCGGCUAACUACGUG